GGAGUCUGGACCGUGUCUCAGUUCCAGUGUGGGGGACCUUCCUCUCAGAACCCCUAUCCAUCGAAGGCCAGGUGGGCCGUUCGCCCCGCCUGCGGCCUAAUCGGACGCAUCCCCAUCCACCAGCGGCGUGAACCUUUCUUCCUACUUAGAUGUCCGCGUAGGAAAACAUAGGGUAUUAAUC
RNAcentral lists this ribosomal RNA (181 nucleotides) under uncultured Bacteroidales bacterium. Its description in RNAcentral is "partial 16S ribosomal RNA". Lineage: Bacteria; Pseudomonadati; Bacteroidota; Bacteroidia; Bacteroidales. The record is from RNAcentral.